Molecule: transfer RNA, 34 nt
Filed under: Trichocline reptans
Lineage: Eukaryota; Viridiplantae; Streptophyta; Magnoliopsida; Asterales; Asteraceae
Description: partial tRNA-Phe
Source: RNAcentral
UGGUAGAGCAGAGGACUGAAAAUCCUCGUGUCAC